CCUACGGGAGGCAGCAGUGGGGGAUAUUGCACAAUGGGGGAAACCCUGAUGCAGCGACGCCGCGUGUGGGAAGACGGUCCUCUGGAUUGUAAACCACUGUCCCCAGGGACGAAAAUGACGGUACCUGGGGAGGAAGCUCCGGCUAACUGCGUGCCAGCAGCCGCGGUAAUACGUAGGGAGCGAGCGUUGUCCGGAAUUACUGGGUGUAACGGGAGCGUUGGCGGGGAUGCAAGUUGGUUGUAAAAACUACGGGCUCACCUGGGAGUCGCACUCAACACUGCCGCUCUUGAGUGGAGUAGAGGCAGGCGGAAUUCCUAGUGUAGCGGUGAAAUGCGUAGAUAUUAGGAGGAACACCAGUGGCGAAGGCGGCCUGCUGGGCUUUUACUGACGCUGAGGCUCGAAAGUGUGGGGAGCAAACAGGAUUAGAUACCCGAGUAGUC
Molecule: ribosomal RNA, 440 nt
Filed under: uncultured bacterium
Lineage: Bacteria
Description: partial 16S ribosomal RNA
Rfam family: Bacterial small subunit ribosomal RNA
Source: RNAcentral